RNAcentral lists this unclassified non-coding RNA (1287 nucleotides) under Hevea brasiliensis (rubber tree). Lineage: Eukaryota; Viridiplantae; Streptophyta; Magnoliopsida; Malpighiales; Euphorbiaceae. The record is from RNAcentral.
GCCAUCCUUUACUAUCCAUAAGGUAUGCCCUUCAUCUCACAUCUUCAGGCCUUCAAGGAGAAUAGAUUAAAGGCCCAUUUGGUUGUAGCAUUGGAAUCUGAAAUCAAGAAUGUAUUGGCAACCAGAAUGGUAAAUUACCUUGCAUGUUUGCUUCAACGUGCACAUAGAUUUUGAUUCCUUUUCUGACUAUUGGGUAAUUUCAAGUCUUGUCAUCCAACAUCUAAUCUGAUUUUUGCUAUUUUUUUUCCAGAUAGUAAUGAGGCUUUGAUUGUGUGCUUCAAGAAAUUUCUAAUGCUUGAGUUGCUAUUUUGAUGGUUUUAGUAUGAUAUAUUGUUUCAUGCUGUUCUGUGGAAAUGCAUCUCAAGAUCUGCUAUGUUGAUCAUAAAAUGGUGAAUAAGAUGUAUUAUUUGGGGCACACAGAAAAGAUGAUUUCCCCCCUUUUCUCUGCAAUACUGAAAAAUUGUGCCAACCCUUGCACACUUGCAUUACAAAAAGAAUGCUAUGAACAUUGAAAGUUGCUUGAAACAAAGGCAAACAUAAAAUUGAAUGACCUUUUGUCCUUUUCUUUUGGAAUAAUCCAUAUAGAAGCUUUACUUUAAAGAAAAGAUCUAUUAAAGUCCCUCAACUAUUAUUUUGACCUAUUGGGCCUUUGAAUUUCUAUUUUUGAAAAUAUUGAGUCCAAUUUGUCCAAAAAGCAGCUCUGGAGUGUUAAAUGUUUUCUUAUAGAUUAAUAAAUGACAAAAGAUAGAAAGUGGUGGAUUGAAUUUAAUUUUUUUUUGCAUAUGCAUGGACAAAUUGGAUUCAAUAGAUACACAAAUAAAAAUUCAACGGUUAAUAUGUCAAGUUUUAAUAGUUAUUUUUCUCUUAGGUUCAGGUAAUGGGCAGCUUUCCUGCUGAAUGAAUUGAUCCAUUAAAUGAUGUGCUAAGAUCUUUGAUUGGAUUAAAAUAAAAGCUGUGCCCUAACAAGCUAUACAUGAUGUCUUUUUAGGGGGCAGCUUUUAUUUUAAUUGUAAUAGAAAAUGAUAUAAAUAUUUUCUCUUGCAAAAAUAUCUAUUGUGAGAUUUCUUGGAGAAUUGUAAUUGGUUACUGUGAUGGGGCAAUGAUUCUUUAACUGAUUUGAUAUUUAUGCUUGCAGACAUAGGCAGAUGCUUCUAGAAAAUCUUACAGAUCUGUUUUUUGUCUUUUCUUUAUUGUACGGACUGGAUUCUUUCAAAUCCAUUCUCAAAAAUUCCCUCACUUUCAACAAAGAAAAUAACAGGAUUAAAAGAAUACAAGGAGAUGAACAAG